Molecule: ribosomal RNA, 365 nt
Filed under: uncultured Flavobacteriia bacterium
Lineage: Bacteria; Pseudomonadati; Bacteroidota; Flavobacteriia
Description: bacterial SSU rRNA
Rfam family: Bacterial small subunit ribosomal RNA
Source: RNAcentral
GUGUCGGAACUUGACGGUACUGGUAGAAUAAGGAUCGGCUAACUCCGUGCCAGCAGCCGCGGUAAUACGGAGGAUCCAAGCGUUAUCCGGAAUCAUUGGGUUUAAAGGGUCCGUAGGCGGUUUUUUAAGUCAGAGGUGAAAUCCUGCAGCUCAACUGUAGAAUUGCCUUUGAUACUGAAAGACUUGAGUUAUUGUGAAGUGGUUAGAAUGUGUGGUGUAGCGGUGAAAUGCAUAGAUAUCACACAGAAUACCAAUUGCGAAGGCAGAUCACUAACAAUAUACUGACGCUCAGGGACGAAAGCGUGGGUAGCGAACAGGAUUAGAUACCCUGGUAGUCCACGCCGUAAACGAUGGAUACUAGCUGU